RNAcentral lists this ribosomal RNA (497 nucleotides) under uncultured bacterium. RNAcentral describes it as "partial 16S ribosomal RNA". It matches the Rfam family "Bacterial small subunit ribosomal RNA", at positions 28 to 507 of the family's 1533-position model. The record is from RNAcentral.
GAUGAACGCUGGCGGCGUGCCUAAUACAUGCCAGUCGAGCGAACAGAUGAGGAGCUUGCUCCUCUGACGUUAGCGGCGGACGGGUGAGUAACACGUGGAUAACCUACCUAUAAGACUGGGAUAACUUCGGGAAACCGGAGCUAAUACCGGAUAAUAUAUUGAACCGCGUGGUUCAAUAGUGAAAGACGGUUUUGCUGUCACUUAUAGAUGGAUCCGCGCCGCAUUAGCUAGUUGGUAAGGUAACGGCUUACCAAGGCAACGAUGCGUAGCCGACCUGAGAGGGUGAUCGGCCACACUGGAACUGAGACACGGUCCAGACUCCUACGGGAGGCAGCAGUAGGGAAUCUUCCGCAAUGGGCGAAAGCCUGACGGAGCAACACCGCGUGAGUGAUGAAGGUCUUCGGAUCGUAAAACUCUGUUAUUAGGGAAGAACAAAUGUGUAAGUAACUAUGCACGUCUUGACGGUACCUAAUCAGAAAGCCACGGCUAACUACGUG